This is an RNA transcript of Mus musculus (house mouse), 3214 nucleotides long. It is a transcript of the gene named diphthamine biosynthesis 3, with no coding region annotated. The record is from RefSeq and is marked validated. The transcript has 3 exons. NCBI's taxonomy places the organism in Eukaryota, Metazoa, Chordata, Mammalia, Rodentia, Muridae.
CGCUAUCUCCAUGGCGACCGCGACCGGGUCACCCUUUUGGCCGCGGCGGUAGAAGUUACGUCAUCGCCUGUGCGUCCGGAAGUGACUGUUCCUGCGCCAGGGUGGACCGGGAAGACCGGGCCUUACCCUGCCUGGGCGCAGGUAGGCAAGCUGAUGCGGUGCCGACCGGGUGACCAUGGCGGUGUUUCACGACGAGGUGGAGAUCGAGGACUUUCAAUAUGACGAGGACUCGGAGACAUAUUUCUACCCUUGCCCCUGUGGGGAUAACUUUGCCAUCACCAAGAUGACACUUGGGAGGAAAGUUCUUUGUGUUGUUACCCAACUAAAGACUUGCCCAUAGACAUAGGAGAGAUUUAUGGGAAGUUGACGAAAGGCUAUGCUGACCAUAUGUUGUUUGAUUGCGUUGUAGGAAGAUUUGGAAAAUGGAGAAGAUGUGGCCACGUGUCCUAGCUGCUCACUCAUUAUAAAAGUGAUUUAUGACAAAGAUCAGUUCAUGUGUGGAGAAACAGUCCCAGCACCUUCAACCAACAAGGAGUUAGUUAAAUGCUGAAGAGGCUCUCAGGUACCCACAUCCUGAACCGUGGGGGCUGAGCCCAGGUGGAUGGAUCCAGUGCAGAGUUACCAACCUCCUCGAUGGGCAGCCUCAGGGGUGUGAUCUUCAUCAGCCACUGAACUCAGCAUGAAAAAGGGAGCCUAUGACAUGCCAGCCCUGGAUUCCAUACUGGGACUGGAAGGAUUCCUAAUUGUCCGUCUGAAUUUAAGGAAGAGCCUUAUUAUAAACUGUGGUUUUUCCUUCAGUCGGCUGCAUCAUUUGAACAUCUGGAAAUUCAUUUUCUGAAAAUAACAUCAUCCGCCUCAAUCCUGAGUGUCUUUUAUUUUUUUAAGAUUUAUUAUUUUAUUCUUAAUUGUGUGUGUAUGUGCAUUUGUGUGUGGGUACGUGCAUAUGAGUACCGUUGCCCAAGAUGGAUCUCCUGGAGCAGGAGUCCCAGGCAGUUGGGAGCCACCUGACGUGGAUGCUGGGACCCAAACUUUGGUUCCCUGAAAGCACUACACAUUCCUAACCUUGGAACCAUCUUUCCAGCCCGUGAUGGGAGCUUUUCAAAGAUUACAUUUUGACAUAGUUUCUGAGGUGGUUCAGGUGAGGCCUUUCCUAGAAACAUCUGCCUUUUCCAGAGCUGCACUUGCGGCUCAUUCAUCAGCCAGCCACCUAGGCUUGCCGUGACUGCGUUGUUCCUGUUCUCAGUCAUUUCUGUUACUUUUCACGCGCCAAGUGCAGUCCUGGUAUUAGACCGUAAGACCACAGUUUCUCUGUAGCUUCCAGUUAGUGAGGAAGGAGGGACGUCUGAAGUGACUUAGUAAAAGAGACACUGUUCUUUAAUGCCUCGUGCAUCCUUAUGUCAGGACAGGUUAAAAGGAAACAGCCAAGUGAGGUACCUUAGCUGGCAGCAGCGCGAGGCGUGAAGCCUGCUAACUUGCCAAGUGAAAGUGCGUGAGUAUUGCCAGCUGGAAACAAGUAUUUCUGUAUCAGGGCCUUUAUUUCUUGAAAGGCCUGAUGGGUUCAUCUUAGACGGGCGAGGCUGAUCCUAUCUGUAGUGGUUGUAACGGGGCACAGUUUUGUGUCACCGUUAGUCUUAAGAAGUGCAGACGCUACAACAGGAUGAGCUUGGAAGUGUGAGCUGGCUCUAAGACAUGCCUGUGAUGGCACACCUAGGAAGACUGCACAUAACGGUACCCAAAUCAGACAUGCACCCCCGCUGCCCUGAAAAAAAGAAAUAUAUGUCAAGAAUGACUGUCUGCACUGCAGUCUGAGAGCAUCCAGACGUUAGACUCAGUCAGAGGUUUGAAAGUUCUUUUGUAAACAGCUUUGCUGUGAAUACGUAAAAUACUUUUGAAAGUCCACCGCUUAUCCAGCAGAGUGUUUGGGAUAUGGCUGCUGCAACUGAAAACAAGCCAGUAGGGGCUGGAGAGAUGGCUCAUGGGUUAAGAGUUCUUGCUGUUCUUCUAGAGGACCGGUGUUCAAUUCUUAGCACCCACAUAGCAGCUCACAACUAUCUGGGGCUCCAGUUCCUGGGACUCUGAUGCCCUCUUCUGCCCUCCAUAAAUACCAGGCAUGCACAUAGUUUACAGACAUACAUGCAGACAAAAGACCCAUACAACUAAGUAAUAAUUUUUUUAAAAAAAGAAAUGGCUAAUAAAUACAUUGUAUCCACUCAUUGAAGGUUUGAAUUAAAAUAUGUAACAGUGUAUGGUUCUAGGCAGCCAUUAGGCUGAGACUUAAGUUAAAAGUUGUCUGAAGUGUGUUGUACAGUACAUGUCAGAUUUCUUCCUUUGUUUGUGGGAGGUGGGAAGGCAUUGAACCCAGAGCCUUGCUCACGCCGGGCAAGCCCUCCAGUACUGGGCUGCACCUUCAGCCAGCAUAGUUUUCAUACUGCUGUUUGGUGUCUCCCAAAUUAUCUUACAGAAUGAAGCUACUGCUCAGACGGGCAGAGCAAGGUGAUUCUGGGGAGGAGGAGCUGCCUGGGGAAACAGAUGGUCUGUGCUCAUGAGAGCGAUGCUUUUGGAGAUCUCACCAGCAGUCUCUGCUGCUGCGGUUGCUGCUGUAUUCCACAGCAGACGUCUUCUGUGAUCACAAUGGAGCAGGAGUCCACAUUCAAACGGCCCAGGAGAGAGAGAGCGCGAACAGACCGGGGAUGAGUGCCUGGUAGGAGCGGGUGUGACUUUGUAUUUAAAGCAACCAAGCAAGUUUAUAAACUAGAAGAAAUACCAGCUAUUAACCCCGUAUUAAACAGAAAAACCCAAGGUCAUUCAGAUGUGACUGGAAUCCCAGACGUUUCCAGAGUACUCAGCUGACAGUUGGCAUUUCAGAUGUGAUUCCUUGUCAGACCUUUUGUCAACCCAAAACUAUGAGUGGACGCUUCAUUUUCUUUCACAGCAUCGCACUUUAGAGUGGAAAGUUUCUAGUUCAAAGGAUCCUUUCCUUUCCUGCGAGUGCUUUCUCCCCCGAGGACUUUGAACUUGGGACUCCUCCUUUGUGUUCACAGAAGACCUACAUCAAUAUAUUCACAUCUGCAUUCAGACACAGCCAACAAUUUUUUUUUAGUACUGCGUGGAUCAGUUCAUUAGAACGACUUGCAUUGCCAAGCUAAUAAAAUGAGAACAUGCAAAUUCAUGUUUUCUUGAAGCUUUUAUUCGACCAAAUACUAAAAUUUUACGU